GCUGGCCUGAGAGGGUGUCUGGCCACACUGGGACUGAGAUACGGCCAGACACCUACGGGAGGCAGCAGUGGGGAAUAUUGCACAAUGGGCGCAAGCCUGAUGCAGCGACGCCGCGUGGGGGAUGACGGCCUUCGGGUUGUAAACCUCUUUCAGCUCUGACGAAGCGCAAGUGACGGUAGGAGCAGAAGAAGCACCGGCCAACUACGUGCCAGCAGCCGCGGUAAUACGUAGGGUGCGAGCGUUGUCCGGAAUUACUGGGCGUAAAGAGCUCGUAGGUGGUUUGUCGCGUUGUCCGUGAAAUCUCACAACUCAAUUGUGAGCGUGCGGGCGAUACGGGCAGACUGGAGUACUGCAGGGGAGACUGGAAUU
Molecule: ribosomal RNA, 369 nt
Filed under: uncultured bacterium
Lineage: Bacteria
Description: bacterial SSU rRNA
Rfam family: Bacterial small subunit ribosomal RNA
Source: RNAcentral